CUGGAGGUAAGGCCCUGAAACUUUCACUAAGACCAGCAGUGCCUUCACUGGAUCUUUCUUCUGCAACAGCACCUCAACAAGUGCUUACGUUUCACUGAAGUAAAUGCAGCAUAAGGAUAUGUUUAAUGGUACCAUUUGGGAGCAAAACCAACUUGGUCAGUCUCAAGGUUGAUGUUAACUGUUCUGACAUGCUCAAAAGAAACAAAUCUUGUCCCUAU
This 218-nucleotide long non-coding RNA is filed under the name Taeniopygia guttata (zebra finch). RNAcentral's name for it is "lncRNA (ENSTGUG00000021290.1)". The record is from RNAcentral. Lineage: Eukaryota; Metazoa; Chordata; Aves; Passeriformes; Estrildidae.